CCAUUUGCGGAAAAACUCUCCAGAAGAGAUGAUCCAUGUUUGUGAAAGGCGAGUUUGUUGGAAAAAUAGCUGGAUUUGAUGGUAUCUUUGAAAAAGGCCAAACAUGAAGUGCUGGAAGAUAUUCAAAAAACACAUGGUUUAUAGAUUCCUCAUCCACACCUUUCACAACGUAUAUCCUCAUGUAUCCCUCUCGCUUGCAGAUUCUUCUUGACUGUUAUACAUCCCGUCACUAAUUGCCAUAGAAAAUAUUUUAUCUUUGGUGGGCACCAUAUUUUCCAGCAGAACGCUUUCAAUAUAUCAACUGUGGAUCCAAACAUUAAUGGUGGUUUGUCCCUGUCUGAGUAAACCCGUUCUACAUGAUAUCUUGAUUUAACCGUAUAUUUUCCAUUGUUUGUGAAAUGUCAUUCAUCCCUAUCUACCAUUCGAGUUCUGCUCAGUGGUAUUCUUUCUAUAACUUUUACAUCAUGUGGGUCCACCAAAACCCGAAGUACCUGCGAAUUCUAAGUUCACGAAGUAUAAUCAAUAAAAAAAUCCACUAUAAGAUCUGGGUAAUAAUCAUGUUGGUUUUAACACUUUUAACCUUUAAAAUUACAUUUAUAGCAUAAAAACAUUUAACCUAAGUUACUUGUUCAUCAAAUAAAAAGUUGGCAUGUACAAAAGCGAUAAGGUGUCAGUUUUCUUUCCAAAAAAUAAUUACAUAAUAAAUAAAAUAAAAUAAAAAAUAAAGAAAAAUUCAGAAAUUGCAGAAAAAUCAGAAAACUAAACAAAAAAAUCUCGAUAAAAAAACAAAAACAAAUCAGUAAAUUAAAUAAAAAUUCAGAAAAUUACUUAAAAAUUAAGAAAUAAAAUUAAAUUAAAUUAAAACACAUCAAAUUAAACAAGAAUUAUUUAAAACUAAGAAAUUCAUAAAAAAUAGAAAAUUCAAAAUUCAAAAUUCAAAAUUCAAAAUGUCUUUUAAACAAAAAUAAAAAUAUUUCUAAAAAAUUACAAGAUUUUUUUUAAACUAACAUAUCAUCGAUGACAAUAAAAGUUUUAAACAUAUCACUGUUGAUGAUGAUGGUUUCUCACAUAACUAUUAACAAUAACAGUUUUUGACAUAUCUUCAAUGAUAAUUUUGACAUCACCG
Molecule: long non-coding RNA, 1126 nt
Filed under: Brassica rapa (field mustard)
Lineage: Eukaryota; Viridiplantae; Streptophyta; Magnoliopsida; Brassicales; Brassicaceae
Description: long non-coding RNA (BRAP_LNC003478)
Source: RNAcentral